CCGAUGGAUAGGUAGCCACCUCUCUCUGCCAGACACCCCAACCGAACUUCGACCGACAGGCCUGGAUCCCCUGACAGGCCGCAGUAACGGCCAUGACUCUACUCCACUUCCUGCAAAGGAUUCUGUGCGGCUCUAUCACCCCCUGUAAAGGCCACGUCUUUGCUCCACUUCCUGCAACGGAUUUCGUGCGGCUCCAUCACCCCCUGGCAGGCCACAGUAACGGCCACGACUCUGCUCCACUUCCUGCGAUGGAUUUCGCGCGGCUCCAUCACUCCCUGGC
RNAcentral lists this long non-coding RNA (280 nucleotides) under Elaeis guineensis (African oil palm). Its description in RNAcentral is "long non-coding RNA (EGUI_LNC076176)". Lineage: Eukaryota; Viridiplantae; Streptophyta; Magnoliopsida; Arecales; Arecaceae. The record is from RNAcentral.